RNAcentral lists this ribosomal RNA (428 nucleotides) under uncultured bacterium. Its description in RNAcentral is "bacterial SSU rRNA". It matches the Rfam family "Bacterial small subunit ribosomal RNA", at positions 355 to 775 of the family's 1533-position model. The record is from RNAcentral.
UGGGGAAUAUUGGACAAUGGGGGCAACCCUGAUCCAGCGAUGCCGCGUGAGUGAAGAAGGCCUUCGGGUCGUAAAGCUCUUUAGGUUGGGAAGAAGUGCGUGGUGUGAAUAACACCAUGUGUUGACGGUACCGACAGAAUAAGCACCGGCAAACUCUGUGCCAGCAGCCGCGGUAAUACAGAGGGUGCGAGCGUUAAUCGGAGUUACUGGGCGUAAAGGGCGCGUAGGCGGUGAUGUGAGUGCGAUGUGAAAGCCCUGGGCUUAACCUGGGAAGUGCAUCGUAAACUGCAUUGCUGGAGUAUAUGAGAGGGUGGCGGAAUUUCCGGUGUAGCGGUGAAAUGCGUAGAGAUCGGAAGGAACGUCGAUGGCGAAGGCAGCCACCUGGCAUAAUACUGACGCUGAGGCGCGAAAGCGUGGGGAGCGAACAG